RNAcentral lists this ribosomal RNA (393 nucleotides) under uncultured bacterium. RNAcentral's name for it is "partial 16S ribosomal RNA". It matches the Rfam family "Bacterial small subunit ribosomal RNA", at positions 523 to 918 of the family's 1533-position model. The record is from RNAcentral.
AUACGGAGGACGCGAGCGUUAUCCGGAUUCAUUGGGUUUAAAGGGUGCGCAGGCGGCCGUGCAAGUCAGCGGUGAAAGCCCGGGGCUCAACCCCGGAAGUGCCGUUGAUACUGCGUGGCUGGAAUGCGGUCGAGGCGGGCGGGACGUGGCGUGUCGGGGGGAAAUGCGUAGAUAUGCCACAGAACGCCGUUAGCGGAGGCAGCUCGCCAGGCCUGCAUUGACGCUCGGGCACGAAAGCGUGGGGAUCGAACAGGAUUAGAUACCCGGGUAGUCCACGCCGUAAACGAUGGGCGCUCGUCGUCGGCGACAGACAGUCGGCGGCCAAGCGAAAGCGAUAAGCGCCCCACCUGGGGAGUACGGUCGCAAGGCUGAAACUCAAAUGAAUUGACGGGG